CACGUAGGCACCAAGCGUUGUCCGGAUUUAUUGGGCGUAAAGAGCUCGUAGGCGGUUGAGUAAGUCGGGUGUGAAAACUCUGGGCUUAACCCAGAGCCGCCACUCGAUACUGCUCUGACUUGAGUUCGGUAGGGGAGCAGGGAAUUCCUAGUGUAGCGGUGAAAUGCGCAGAUAUUAGGAGGAACACCGGUGGCGAAGGCGCUGCUCUGGGCCGAAACUGACGCUGAGGAGCGAAAGCGUGGGUA
Molecule: ribosomal RNA, 245 nt
Filed under: uncultured Ilumatobacter sp.
Lineage: Bacteria; Bacillati; Actinomycetota; Acidimicrobiia; Acidimicrobiales; Ilumatobacteraceae
Description: partial 16S ribosomal RNA
Rfam family: Bacterial small subunit ribosomal RNA
Source: RNAcentral